GGAGAGGUGGCUGAGUGGUUUAAAGCGGUGGAUUGCUAAUCCAUUGUACUCCUAAGGGGGUACCGGGGGUUCGAAUCCCCCCUUCUCCGCCA
This 92-nucleotide transfer RNA is filed under the name Kiritimatiellia bacterium. RNAcentral's name for it is "tRNA-Ser". It matches the Rfam family "tRNA". From Rfam's summary of the family: Transfer RNA (tRNA) molecules are approximately 80 nucleotides in length. Their secondary structure includes four short double-helical elements and three loops (D, anti-codon, and T loops). Lineage: Bacteria; Pseudomonadati; Kiritimatiellota; Kiritimatiellia. The record is from RNAcentral.